GCCUGGGAGAAAAUGAAACAGAAAGUAAGUGCUGCCCAAAGGGCUCCACCCCAGCCAAACCCACAUUUGCCACUUUCAUAAGACAAAGGCCCUUGAGGGCAGUGAGCCGUAGAACCAUCCAAUAAUCAGGUCCUGCGGAAGUGGACCGGAGGUUUAAAGCUCUGUUUCUGACGCUUGUCACAUGAGCCUAAUUUGAUUUAAAUUAAUUUUAGUGAAGCAAAUCUAAAAUUUUAGUUCCUUGGUCUCCUUAGCCACAUUGCAAGUGCUCUACAACCUGGCACAGAGGUCAACGGCCCCACUACCACAGACUUCCAUGGGAUGGUGCCGCUCUGCUCUGAAGCAAGGGUCAGCAAGCUACACCCCACCAGCCAAAACCAGCUGUUGCCUCUUCUUAUACAGCCUGCGACCAAAGGAUGAUUUUUAGUGUUUGUAUGUGGUUGCAAAAAUUUUGUGGUGAAUGGUUUUCUUUCUUUGUUCUCGAAGUAACUACAAAUAUCCUUGUUUCUGCUUCAUGGUUCAUACCAUCUGAAAUAUUCUCCAGAUCUUUCUAGAAAAUGUUUGCCAACCCCUGGUCUCAAGCAGCUUCAAACUACAUUUGAGGAAACUGAGGCCUAGAGACCGAUGUGACACACACAGCUCAGAAAGGGACAGUUGUCAACUUGGGCCUUUGUUUUACCUGCUCUUUUACUCUGUCCUGACCUCUUUUCUUCUAAGGGUCUCUGUUUUAGUUCAUCCAGCAAAUAACACGAUGGCUUCCUUUUAUGGCAUUGUGAACGAGAGAGGGAGUGAUUGAUUUUUUGAAAAGACAUUGAUUGACGUUCACUUGGAGUCUCUGCAGGGAGAUCCUGCAGGAGGAUCACAGGGUCAGAGCCCAGUGUUUCCAAAGGGCAUCCAGUGUAGACUCCGGGUUCUCCUCUCAUGCAGCUGCAGAUACAGAAGCAACCAGAUGGCGUUAAAAGAUGAUCGACAUCAUUUAGUUUAAAACUCCCGCACUGCCAUCAAACCGCGCUGCCUGUGAUGAUCUAUGCAUUAAUAUUUUUUUAAAAUCCUUUAAAUCUUAUGAUUAGUGUCCUUGAUGUUUCAGUAGAUUCAUGUGGUGAGUUAAAAGCCUUAAUUUGUCAAAUAUAAACACUUUAAAUACACUGCAGUUUUAAUAACCCUGUUGGGCAUUUCCUCAUUUUAACUUUAAUUUAAAAAAAAAAACGCAGCAACAUCUCGAAAUUUGAAAGUGGCUCGAGUGACCUUGACUGUCUUAAGCGAUGGCACAUUUAAGCAGAUCCUCUGCAGAUGGUUGGGUUGCAGGAAGGAGCGGUACCACCUACAGCCCAUCCUUGUGAUUUGCAAGUUGCGUAUUUACAAAUUUGCCCUACUUUCAGAUUUCUACUUGUAACCCCAGGAUGUGGUCAUGUGGAAGAUCAAGUUGGUCAUGAAGAUCCUUUUGGCUGUGUUACAAGCGUGUGGGUUUGGAUUGGUGGGGGUGGGGGUGGGGCCGCCAUUACUCUCUACCUGGAAAUUACAGUGUGUACCAGGAAGGAAAGAAUUCGUUAAAUCCAGGGUAGAUGGAUAUGAAGGUGAAAAGAGAGCUGCUUGGCUCCUGGGAAGCUGGGCUCAUGAGCAAAUAUCUAAAGGGAAGGAGAUGUAAGGCAAUUUAUCCAUUGAUUGUUCAGGUUUCUUGCUGGGGACCAACAGGGUUUAGACCCAGCAACUGGGCGUAUGCUCAGGUUCUGAGGAUGCGUUCCUUAGGAGGUCUCUUUUUAAAAUUUCUCUUCUUCUUUAAAAGGGGGGAAGUUCCUCGAGGUUAUCGAGAGCACAGGAGCUUCCUUCUGAGCUCCGGAACAUUUGUGAGAAAUGGAACUUGCACGUGUCUAUUUGGAAGCCUUCCUGGAGCCUGCUGUAUCCUAACUCGUCAGUGUCAGCGCUGCCUUCUAACUCUGUGCUGCUUUCUGUGGCAUCUUCUGAAUUAGCAUCAGGUUUUUGUCAAACAUGGAAAUGUUCUCCUAAGGGGGAUGCCGCUUCCUAAAAUCUACAGAGUGUGUGUGCGCGCGCGCAUGUGUGUUCGCCUGAGAUUGUGGAAGGAAACCUUGUGCAAAUCCCAGACAAGCAGAGGUCACCUCUCCAGGACAGAUGGGCCUGAGCUCUGGAAAACUAGGACCCACACCAUCUGACUUGGCAAAAGCAGUAUGUGUGGUGUGAAAGCCCUGACUUCCUCUGCCCCAGCCUACCUGGGCUGGUUCCCUAUGGCAUUAGUAGGACAACCAUCUCCCAGUUGCCCACGCCCUCUUCUCUCACUGACCACAUCCAACGGGAACAUCCCAAUGUCAAGCACUCACCGUAGCCGCUGCCAAAUCCUCGAGAACAUGCCCUCACAUUUUUACUCACCCAUUUUUAAAGUCUCCAAACAUGGCUUCUUUCCCCAGUUCUCUCUCUCUUUUUCCUUUAAAAUGUUCUGGUCUCUUUCUGAUUUAAGACUCUGGAGAUUCCUUGUCACAGUCCGGACAAAGGCCAUGCAACCACCUAUGAUAAAGACUCUAGGGCCUCGUGCAUGCUGAGCACGCGUUCUGCACUUCCCCAGACCCUUGGCCCUGACAACCUCUCUCUUCUUAAUUGUUAACUUACUUAGCAAAGUUUGGUGCUUCGUCUUUUUCUGGUUCUUUUGUCUAGAAUGCUCUUCCUAAGUUCUCUGCUUGGGAAAGUCCCAUUUGGUCUUCAGAUCCGUCUCCAGGGCUUCACUUCUCUUCCAUAGAUGAGAAUAAAAUAUUUAAAGACGAGCGUGAUUGGGUUCUAAGCAAUUAGGACAGAAGCCAUGAAGGGAGUCUGGACAGCCUUGCUUCAGUGUGCUGGGUGCCCACUGUCUGGGUCUACCCCACCCAGCAGAGUGUGCAUAUCCUCCUUUGUGCCACCCAGGUCCUUGUGGAGGUGCACAGUGCCAAUCCUGUAUUCAUUCAACAAGCGUUUCAUAAUUGCCUGCUCUGUUUAGACCCUGGCUAGAUGGUGAUAAGAUGGGAAGGAAUGAGACGGUGCUUUUGGUCUGCUGUGGUCUCAUCUGACAGCAUUUAAACCGUGUGAUUAUCUUCUAUAGGAGCAUGAGGUCCUUGGAGGGUGGGGACCAACUCUUUUCUCUUAGCUUCCCAGAGAUCUGGCUGGUGCCUGGUACACAAUGUGCUCAGUCAGUGUUUGUGGAACGAGGGCCUCUGACUGGGAUCCACAGCAUCUGGACUCAUUGUUGGGGGUGUCAAGGUGUUAAAUUGAUUCAGGGGGCUGACCAGUCAUGAACCCAAGGGCUCCAACUAAUGGUAGGGGAUGAUGUUUAUUUAUAAAGGGGUAACUUCUAGAAACAGUUUAUUUGCCUCGGCUGUUUCUAAUUCAGCUUCCCCCCCCCUCUUUCUUCUUGUUCUUCUUUGAAUGGAAAAAUGUCACCCACUCACUGGUUUUAUAUAGCUCCCAUUGAAGUAGAACUCAAUGGAAAUCGUGCCUAUUAAUUAGAAACCCAGAAUGUGGGCAGCUUUUGAACUGCUAAUUAAAACACUUACCAAUCAGUUUGCAUUUGUGUUUUUUAAACCUCUUUCUUUUCCUGAACCUAGAACUUUCACCUACCAGAGAAGAUGAGUUUUAAAAAGGCAAUUGCUAAGAGUGAUUGUAUCAGGUUUUCAAAUACCUCCAGUGAAAUCUCCGGGCCGGGUGUCUUCCUAGCACUCAGAAGGUUGUUAGCGGGGGCUACAGAGGACACAAGUGGACUCCCAGGUCCCCUCCCUUAGGGCCUCUUGUGACUGCUGCCAGAGGCCCCUCCGUGGGUAGCAGGGCCACAUCCUUCCUUUUCGGGCAGCUCAAGUGGGGACUACCUCUGCAGGUCCUAGGAGCUGCAGGCUCCAAUGG
This 3873-nucleotide long non-coding RNA is filed under the name Marmota monax (woodchuck). The record is from RNAcentral. Lineage: Eukaryota; Metazoa; Chordata; Mammalia; Rodentia; Sciuridae.